CUUUCGUGAAUGGGGGCAUGUCCCAGCUCAUUUGGUCCUGCCACCCCACUCCAGCCCGUGGCUCCUGGGCUGGCCCAGCCCCACCGCUGCCAGUUCCCAUAAUGUGGGGCAGCUGCCCAGCACCAGCAAAGGGUGGGAGGAUUACAGUGUUACAGCUCUGGCUCAGGGAAUCCUGAGGUCUAGGCCCCUAGAAGGGUUGCUGCUCUAGUGAACAGGAGUGUGUCACCACCCUCAGCUCAGUGAGCCAGCCAGGAAAGUGUUAUAACCCUUUUCACUCCUACUGUUCAGCGGGUCCCAGGUUCUUGUCCCACAUCCAAGAAGCAUGAGGUUACACAGACACUGGAGAGUGAGCCAGGUGGAGGAGGGUUUUAUUCAAUGCAAGAACAGCUCUCAACACAAGACGGGACCCAAAGUGGGUAGCCCUCUGUAUGAGAGGGUGCCCUAACUAAGGCAGGUAGUCCCAAUAUGUGGCUGAGUCUGGGGUUUUUAUGGGCUCAGGAUCGGGGAGUGUGUGCUGACUGGUCCAUAGGCGGGCUUGGGAAAAGCACCAUUUGAUUAGCUAAAAGGCAUCGAGGAAGUUCUCACUCCUGGCUGUGGACCCCACCCUGAGCUGAUAGCCUGGCUUGAAGGUUGGGUUUCACUGGGGACCUGGCCGUUUCUGCCUAGGAAUUUGUGUGCCUCUUGCCUCUAUCAGUGUCCUUGUACCUGCCCAAGGUAGGAAUUUAAUCUGAUUGUGGGUCAAAAGACUCUAAUUCCAGAAAAUGUCCUGCCCCAUAACCUAGAGGAAGAAAUACUACACAGAGAGGCCAAGAAAAGUCUGAAUAAGGAGGUCUUUCUGGGUUUAGAACAUGGGCUUCUUGUUCAAUCACAUUUUUAAAUGGUUGUCAAUCAUGCCUAUAUAAUGAAGCCUCCAUAAAACCCCAAAAGGACAGGGUUUGAACAGUUCCUGGAUAGCUAAACAUGUGCAGAUUCCUGGGGGUUGAGCACCCAAGUGGGGCAAGGAAGCUCCACACUCCUUCCCCCAUACCUUGCCCUACACAUCUCUUCAUCUGCAUCCUUGAUAAUAUCCUUUAAAAUAAACCAGUAAACCUAAGUGUUUCCCUGAGUUCUGUGAGCUGCUCCAGCAAAUUAAAGGAACCCAAAGAAGGGGCUGUGGGAACCCCAACUUAAAGUCAGUCAGUCAGAAGAUCUGGAGGUCUGGACUUAUGACUGGUGUCUGGGGAAGCAGUCUUGGGGACUGAGCCGUCAACCUGUGGGAUCUAAGGCUAUCUCCAGGCAGAUGGUGUCAGAACUGAAUUGGAGGACACCCAGCAGGAAGAGGACUGCUUGUUUGCUGGGGAGAAGAAAUUCCCACAUAUUUCAGGGUCACAGAAGUCUUCCUCAUUGAUUGUUGUGGUAUAAGAACACAGAAAAAAAUGUUCUGAGAGUUUUUCAGGAACAAUUGAUGUUAGUGAAGUGGGAUUAGCUAGAAUGGCUCAGGUUCAGAGAAACAUUUGGUUUGAGAAGAGAAAGGAUAAAAGCCUGGGGGAUGAGAAACCCUUGAUUCCUGGGUGGCCAAACAAUCACCUGUGAUAUGAAGUCACAGUGCUCUGCUGAGUUACUAAAGGUAAAAGUUACCAAUGGAAUUUAGAGAUGGAGAAUUGGUUCACCGGAUGCAUAAGAAAAUGCAAACUAAUCAGAAAAAAGCAAACUAUUCAAUCCCUUGAUUAUUGUUAUCUAUACUAGCUAAAAUAAAAUUAAAAGAAAGUGCUGGGUUAGACCGUGACACUACAUACACCAAACUUAGAUUUCAGUGAGUCUAAGCUUCAGCCACUAGCCUCAGAACCAUGGCACAAGGGAAAAAUUAUGCAGGAACAACAGAAAGUACCUCUGAGACCUGUGGUGACCUGUGGGAGAAGGGAAGAACCAAAUAAUUAUUGAAACUAGAGGGUAUGGUGUAAAGGAACUAUUCCAUUUUGUAGAUCUGUAUCAUCCACCUCUUGAGGAACCUUUAUAAAAAUGGAUUAUGAGAAUAACUAAUUUAGGGGCAGUAUCUUUGGUUUUGAAUGCUGCAGAAUGGAAGAGCAUGUUUGGUUUGAUGCAGGACCCACAACUCAAUGCUGAACAAUUGCACAUGGGUGUACAUAAUCCAGACACACAGGAGGUUAUUCCUGAGGGAACAGCAAGCCUGAUGGACUGAAUAAAAGCCACUGUAAGAUCUGUUUACCCUGAGAAGGGGGACUGCCAGACUCCACCUAUAAAUGCCAAGUAGAACACCCCAAAUUAUGCAGCUGAUACAUUUCAUCUGUAAGCCAUGUGGGACUAGCUUUUUUUUUUUUUUUUUUUUUUUUUUUUUUUUUUUUGAGAUGGAGUCUCACUCUGUCACCCAGGCUGGAGUGCAGUGGCACAAUCUCAGACAACUGCUGCAAGCUCCACCUGCCGGGUUCACGCCAU
Molecule: long non-coding RNA, 2433 nt
Filed under: Homo sapiens (human)
Lineage: Eukaryota; Metazoa; Chordata; Mammalia; Primates; Hominidae
Description: HSALNT0372532
Source: RNAcentral